This 482-nucleotide ribosomal RNA is filed under the name uncultured bacterium. RNAcentral's name for it is "bacterial SSU rRNA". It matches the Rfam family "Bacterial small subunit ribosomal RNA", at positions 30 to 506 of the family's 1533-position model. The record is from RNAcentral.
UUGAACGCUGGCGGCAUGCUUUACACAUGCAAGUCGAACGGCAGCGGGGGCUUCGGCCUGCCGGCGAGUGGCGAACGGGUGAGUAAUGCAUCGGAACGUGCCCAGUCAUGGGGGAUAACUACGCGAAAGCGUAGCUAAUACCGCAUACGCCCUGAGGGGGAAAGCGGGGGAUCGCAAGACCUCGCGUGAUUGGAGCGGCCGAUGUCGGAUUAGCUAGUUGGUGGGGUAAAGGCCUACCAAGGCGACGAUCCGUAGCGGGUCUGAGAGGAUGAUCCGCCACACUGGGACUGAGACACGGCCCAGACUCCUACGGGAGGCAGCAGUGGGGAAUUUUGGACAAUGGGCGCAAGCCUGAUCCAGCAAUGCCGCGUGCAGGAUGAAGGCCUUCGGGUUGUAAACUGCUUUUGUACGGAACGAAAAGACUCCUUCUAAUAAAGGGGGUUCAUGACGGUACCGUAAGAAUAAGCACCGGCUAACUACGU